GUCAGACUCAUUUAAUAGGAAACUACCCACAGAAGAAAAUAAGGAAAACGAAUUCUGUAGGUAGAGAAAUGUAAUGACUAAGAUUUUAAAUGUUAUGACUAAGAUACAUGUUUAGUUGAUAAAAAUUAAUAAAAAUAAGAAACUUUCCUUCCUAGGGCAGCAUAAGAUCAUUUCAGAAUGAAGAUGCUUUGGGAUCUGACUUCGGACUGUAAGAAUGACAAACUCUGAAUGGGUGCAAAGGUAGCAGAUGACCUUCAAAGGAUGGUGAGAUUAAAUUUACCUACACCUAGAGAAAUAAUUGGAGCACAUGUCUAUUUGGGCCAAGAGGAUAAAGGCCAGUAGAGGAAUCAGAUCAAAGAACUUCCUCAGGGAAGUGUGCAGAGAACUGGAGUGGACCUUCCCCUAGGAAGCUGCCCAAAACGAGAGUGCUGGAAAGCUGGCCGCAGUGAGGCACUUCAGAUCCCAAGGGUAUGCUGGGGAAGCUGCCACAGGUGGGAGCACUUGCUGCUGGACCCUAGGCACUGUUGAAACAACUGCACCAUCUGCAGGAGCCCAGCAAGAAAGAACUUGUUUGCAUCCCUGCUAGACAAAAACCUACAAGUUAACCUUUGCCCGUAUGGAGUUGUAAAACAGACCAGUUGAUAGAAAGAGAAGCCUGCUUCCCGAAGCCCUCAGCAGAAGCCGAGCAGAUGUUGGCACCAUGCUUCUUGUACAGCCUGCAGAACUUGAAGAAACACUCCAUAUUAGUUUUCUGGAGCCAUCGUUAUGAAGCAACACAGACUGGGUGGCAUAAACAAUGGAGAUUUAUUUUUUCACAAUUCCGGAGGCUAGAAGUUUGAGAUCAAGGUGUUGGAAAGUGUCUCAGGAUGAUACAUACCGGUUUUUAACUUUGGUGUCAUCAAAUGCAAUUGCAAUGUGACUGUUUCUUGAAAGCCCGAACUGCUUGCUCCCUAUCAAAAGAGCUGGUUCUGAUUCUGCAGCACAAGGACCCUGUAAAAUACCCAGGAGAGAAAAACAGGAGAUUAUGGACUGUUCUUUAAAAAGUGCAAGGAGCACAUUGCUCAACCAAUUCCAUCGUGGACACUAAGGAAGAGAAUGAGAUAUUCAAGAGUUUUCAAGAUCUGCACUCAAGACAACAUUGCCCACCCAUUACUGGUAUGGAAUAUAACCACAACACAUGAGCUGUAAAGAGUGUAGUGACUGUGACCAUCUUUGUUGUAUUGGUGAUAAGAAUGUAAAUUGGCAUAGCCUGUGGAAGAAACAAUUCAGAUUCGGCUCUGGUCUGAUCACAAUUUUCCUCAUUGUUCGUGCCCCUGUGGAGAGAUGCACUUCCAGACGGCCCCUGUUGAGGAGUAUUGCAUAAUAGGCCUGCAACAGCAAGU
Molecule: long non-coding RNA, 1382 nt
Filed under: Homo sapiens (human)
Lineage: Eukaryota; Metazoa; Chordata; Mammalia; Primates; Hominidae
Description: LHRI_LNC1209.2
Source: RNAcentral